RNAcentral lists this transfer RNA (71 nucleotides) under Oribacterium sp. Its description in RNAcentral is "tRNA-Gly". It matches the Rfam family "tRNA". From Rfam's summary of the family: Transfer RNA (tRNA) molecules are approximately 80 nucleotides in length. Their secondary structure includes four short double-helical elements and three loops (D, anti-codon, and T loops). RNAcentral also lists the same sequence under 1 other name. Lineage: Bacteria; Bacillati; Bacillota; Clostridia; Lachnospirales; Lachnospiraceae. The record is from RNAcentral.
GCAGGUGUGGUUCAAUGGUAGAACGUCAGCCUUCCAAGCUGAACACGUGAGUUCGAUUCUCAUCACCUGCU